This 203-nucleotide ribosomal RNA is filed under the name uncultured bacterium. Its description in RNAcentral is "partial 16S ribosomal RNA". It matches the Rfam family "Bacterial small subunit ribosomal RNA", at positions 1298 to 1500 of the family's 1533-position model. The record is from RNAcentral.
UUGCAGGCUGCAACUCGCCUGUAUGAAGUCGGAAUUGCUAGUAAUCGUGGAUCAGCAUGCCACGGUGAAUACGUUCCCGGGCCUUGUACACACCGCCCGUCACACCAUGGGAGUCGGUAACACCCGAAGCCUGUAGUCUAACCGCAAGGGGGACGCAGUCGAAGGUGGGAUUGAUGACUGGGGUGAAGUCGUAACAAGGUAAC